CGGGGGCACGGGGGGCCUACGGGAGGCAGCAGUGGGGAAUAUUGGACAAUGGGCGGAAGCCUGAUCCAGCAAUGCCGCGUGUGUGAAGAAGGCCUUCGGGUUGUAAAGCACUUUAAGCAGGAAAGAAAAAACUUGGUCUAAUACAUCAAGUCUUGACGGUACCUGAAGAAUAAGCACCGGCUAAUUCUGUG
This 191-nucleotide ribosomal RNA is filed under the name uncultured bacterium. RNAcentral describes it as "partial 16S ribosomal RNA". It matches the Rfam family "Bacterial small subunit ribosomal RNA", at positions 319 to 507 of the family's 1533-position model. The record is from RNAcentral.